GCCCGGCUAGCUGAGUUAGUAGAGCAUGGGACUCUUGAUGUCACGAUUGUGGGUUUGAGCCCCAUGCUAGGCG
Non-coding RNA from Pangasianodon gigas (Mekong giant catfish), 73 nucleotides. The record is from the annotation of a GenBank genome assembly. Lineage: Eukaryota; Metazoa; Chordata; Actinopteri; Siluriformes; Pangasiidae.